This 253-nucleotide ribosomal RNA is filed under the name uncultured bacterium. RNAcentral describes it as "partial 16S ribosomal RNA". It matches the Rfam family "Bacterial small subunit ribosomal RNA", at positions 524 to 776 of the family's 1533-position model. The record is from RNAcentral.
UACGAAGGGUGCAAGCGUUAAUCGGAAUUACUGGGCGUAAAGGGUGCGUAGGCGGUUGUUUAAGUCUGUCGUGAAAUCCCCGGGCUCAACCUGGGAAUGGCGAUGGAUACUGGGCAGCUAGAGUGUGUCAGAGGAUGGUGGGAUUCCCGGUGUAGCGGUGAAAUGCGUAGAGAUCGGGAGGAACAUCAGUGGCGAAGGCGGCCAUCUGGGACAACACUGACGCUGAAGCACGAAAGCGUGGGGAGCAAACAGG